CAAGUCGAACGAUGAAGUUCCUUUGGGGAUGGAUUAGUGGCGAACGGGUGAGGAACACGUGAAGAAUCUGCCUCACUUUGGGAUAACUCCGGGAAACCGGGCUAAUACCCGAAUAUUGAAACAUAAGCGGCAUCGCUGAGUUUGAAAGAUUCGGUGGAGGAUGACUUCGCGGCCUAUCAGCUUGUUGGUGAGGUAAUGGCUCACCAAGGCAACGACGGGUAGCCGGCCUGAGAGGGCGACCGGCCACACUGGGACUGAGACACGGCCCAGACUCC
RNAcentral lists this ribosomal RNA (275 nucleotides) under uncultured bacterium. Its description in RNAcentral is "partial 16S ribosomal RNA". It matches the Rfam family "Bacterial small subunit ribosomal RNA", at positions 58 to 339 of the family's 1533-position model. The record is from RNAcentral.